RNAcentral lists this non-coding RNA (30 nucleotides) under Rattus norvegicus (Norway rat). The record is from RNAcentral. Lineage: Eukaryota; Metazoa; Chordata; Mammalia; Rodentia; Muridae.
UGACAAGUGUGGAUGGAGUGAAAGUAUGAU